This 253-nucleotide ribosomal RNA is filed under the name uncultured bacterium. RNAcentral describes it as "partial 16S ribosomal RNA". It matches the Rfam family "Bacterial small subunit ribosomal RNA", at positions 524 to 776 of the family's 1533-position model. The record is from RNAcentral.
UACGUAGGGGGCAAGCGUUGUCCGGAAUCAUUGGGCGUAAAGCGCGUGUAGGCGGCCAGAAAAGUCCGCUGUGAAAACUCGAGGCUCAACUUCGAGCUGUCGGUGGAAACUUUCUGGCUAGAGUCCGGAAGAGGAGAAUGGAAUUCCCGGUGUAGCGGUGAAAUGCGCAGAUAUCGGGAAGAACACCAAUGGCGAAGGCAGCUCUCUGGGACGGUACUGACGCUGAGACGCGAAAGCGUGGGGAGCGAACAGG